GCUGUUUCAGUUUCUAUACCAGACCAAUCCCUGUAGCUGACAUUAGUCAGUACGAAGAAACAAGACGUGACUGUCCAAGAGCUGGAGUGAUUUUUACCACCAAGAAGGGUCCUGUGUGUGCGGACCCCGGCGUUAGGUGGGUGAAGCGAGCCAAGGACAAAAUCGAUCAUCGAUUUGGGGAAGGUUCAAACUCAACUCAGCCGAGUGUUUAAAUCUUCUCUCUAUUAAUGGGAAACUAACUCCUUUUAAUAUUCCAGCUCUUUAUUACUACAGCAGUGUACUCGUCUCUGAUUGGGUGAAGGAAUAAAGCUUUUCUGUUUUUUA
Molecule: long non-coding RNA, 324 nt
Organism: Pygocentrus nattereri (red-bellied piranha)
Lineage: Eukaryota; Metazoa; Chordata; Actinopteri; Characiformes; Serrasalmidae
Exons: 2
Source: RefSeq, a predicted model, not a curated record